AGUGAACGCUGGCGGUAGGCCUAACACAUGCAAGUCGAACGGCAGCACAGUAAGAGCUUGCUCUUACGGGUGGCGAGUGGCGGACGGGUGAGGAAUACAUCGGAAUCUACUUUUUCGUGGGGGAUAACGUAGGGAAACUUACGCUAAUACCGCAUACGACCUACGGGUGAAAGCAGGGGAUCUUCGGACCUUGCGCGAUUGAAUGAGCCGAUGUCGGAUUAGCUAGUUGGCGGGGUAAAGGCCCACCAAGGCGACGAUCCGUAGCUGGUCUGAGAGGAUGAUCAGCCACACUGGAACUGAGACACGGUCCAGACUCCUACGGGAGGCAGCAGUGGGGAAUAUUGGACAAUGGGCGCAAGCCUGAUCCAGCCAUACCGCGUGGGUGAAGAAGGCCUUCGGGUUGUAAAGCCCUUUUGUUGGGAAAGAAAAGCAGCAGGUUAAUACCCAGAUAUUCUGACGGUACCCAAAGAAUAAGCACCGGCUAACUUCGUG
RNAcentral lists this ribosomal RNA (492 nucleotides) under uncultured bacterium. RNAcentral describes it as "partial 16S ribosomal RNA". It matches the Rfam family "Bacterial small subunit ribosomal RNA", at positions 29 to 507 of the family's 1533-position model. The record is from RNAcentral.